UCAAAGAUUAAGCCAUGCAUGUGUAAGUAUAAACAACUUGUAUUUGUGAAACUGCGAAUGGCUCAUUAAAUCAGUUAUAAUUUAAUUGAUAAUGACAGUUUACUAUAUGGAUAGCCGUAGUAAUUCUAGAGCUAAUACAUGGGAAAAAGUCAAACCUUAAUGGAAUGACUGUAUUUAUUAGAUCGCAGACCAAAACAUUAUUCUUUUCGGGGAAUAAUGUAAUAGGGUGAAUCAUGAUAAGUUUGUCGAAUCGGGGAAUUAUAUCUUCGAUGUGUCAUUGAAAUUUCUGCCCUAUCAACUUGUGAUGGUAGGAUAGAGGCCUACGAUGGUUUUGACGGGUAACGGGGGAUUAGGGUUCGAUUCCGGAGAGGGAGCCUGAGAGAUGGCUACCACUUCUAAGGAAGGCAGCAGGCGCGCAAAUUACCCAAUCCCAAUGAUAUUGGGGAGGUAGUGACAAAAAAUACUAAUUCGUUGCUCUUUUAGGGUGAUGAAAUUGGAAUGGUAUUGAUAUAUCAAGUGGAUAGAGAAACAAUUAGAGGGCAAGUCUGGUGCCAGCAGCCGCGGUAAUUCCAGCUCUAAUAGUGUAUACUAAAAUUGCUGCAGUUAAAAAGCUCGUAGUUGGAUUUGUGAUACUAGACAUUUUCCAUUUGUUUGGAAGGGAUGGUACUAAGUUUCUUCCUAAAUGGCAGAUGGGUGUGUAGAAUCAUAUGAAGUAUUCGAAGGGGUGUAUUGCAUUUAACUAUGUCAGUAUGCUUUGUCGGAGAGUUUACUUUGAAGAAAAUGGAGUGUUCAAAGCAGGUAAUAAUAAUGCAACUGAACACAUUAGCAUGGAAUAAUAAAAUAGGACACUAAAGAGUAAUCUUGAAAGAGGUUAUUCAUUUUAGCUAUUCUGUAAAAGGGAUGGUUAGAAGUCACUGUUUUGUUGGUCUACAGUGAAAGUGUAAUGAUUAAUAGGGACAGUUGGGGACAUUGGUAUUGCAUCGCUAGAGGUGAAAUUCUUGGAUUGAUGCAAGACGAACGGGUGCGAAAGCAUCUGUCAAGGAUGUUUUCAUUAAUCAAGAACGAAAGUUAGGGGAUCGAAGGCGAUCAGAAACCGCCCUAGUCUUAACUAUAAACUAUGCCAACUAGGGAUUGUCGGGUAAUGGGACAUAUCUAAGGAUAUGUGCUAAUAGCUACAUUUAUUCAUUUUUAUAUAAAUUUGGAUAAAUUGCCUCGCCAGCACCUGUGGAGAAAUCAUAAGUCUUUGGGUUCUGGGGGGAGUAUGGUCACAAGGCUGAAACUUAAAGAAAUUGACGGAAGGGCACCACCAGGUGUGGAGCCUGCGGCUUAAUUUGACUCAACACGGGGAAACUUACCAGGUCCAGACAGCGGAAGGAUUGACAGAUUGAGAGUUUUUUCUUGAUUCGGUGGGUGGUGGUGCAUGGUCGUUCUUAGUUGGUGGAGCGAUUUGUCUGCUUAAUUGCGAUAACGAACGAGACCUCAACCUGCUAACUAAGCUUUGCGGUAGUAUUUUGCUACUGAUUUAUUAAGCUUCUUAGAGGGACAACCACUAUUGAAGUGGGGGAAGCAUGAGGCAAUAACAGGUCUGUGAUGCCCUUAGAUGUCCUGGGCCGCACGCGCGCUACACUGGUUAAAUCAACAAGUUUAGAUAUAAGGAAACUCUCCGGGGUUGACUUUUCUCCUUGUUCGAAAGAAUCGGGUAAUCUUUUGAAUUUUAAUCGUGCUGGGGAUUGAUUUUUGUAAUUAUGGAUCAUGAACUAGGAAUACCUAGUAAGUGCAAAUCAUCAGUUUGCGCUGAUUACGUCCCUGCCCUUUGUACACACCGCCCGUCGCUCCUACCGAUUGAAUGAUCAGACGAAAUGUUCGGAUUGUGUGAAAAGAGGGGGUUAAACUUCUCUUGUUUAUGCAAGAAGAACAGUAAAUCUUAUUAUUUAGA
This 1936-nucleotide ribosomal RNA is filed under the name Polymastigidae sp. NiTm. RNAcentral describes it as "SSU rRNA". It matches the Rfam family "Eukaryotic small subunit ribosomal RNA". The record is from RNAcentral. Lineage: Eukaryota; Preaxostyla; Oxymonadida; Polymastigidae.